This 429-nucleotide ribosomal RNA is filed under the name uncultured bacterium. Its description in RNAcentral is "bacterial SSU rRNA". It matches the Rfam family "Bacterial small subunit ribosomal RNA", at positions 355 to 776 of the family's 1533-position model. The record is from RNAcentral. RNAcentral also lists the same sequence under 1 other name.
UAGGGAAUCUUCCGCAAUGGACGAAAGUCUGACGGAGCAACGCCGCGUGAGUGAUGAAGGUUUUCGGAUCGUAAAACUCUGUUGUUAGGGAAGAACAAGUGCGAGAGUAACUGCUCGCACCUUGACGGUACCUAACCAGAAAGCCACGGCUAACUACGUGCCAGCAGCCGCGGUAAUACGUAGGUGGCAAGCGUUGUCCGGAAUUAUUGGGCGUAAAGCGCGCGCAGGCGGUUUCUUAAGUCUGAUGUGAAAGCCCCCGGCUCAACCGGGGAGGGUCAUUGGAAACUGGGAAACUUGAGUGCAGAAGAGGAGAGUGGAAUUCCACGUGUAGCGGUGAAAUGCGUAGAGAUGUGGAGGAACACCAGUGGCGAAGGCGACUCUCUGGUCUGUAACUGACGCUGAGGCGCGAAAGCGUGGGGAGCGAACAGG